UGGGGUGUAGCUCAGUGGUUGAGCACUUGCCUAACAUGUAUGAGACCCUGGGUUAAAUUCCCAGCACCACUA
Molecule: transfer RNA, 72 nt
Filed under: Heterocephalus glaber (naked mole-rat)
Lineage: Eukaryota; Metazoa; Chordata; Mammalia; Rodentia; Bathyergidae
Rfam family: tRNA
About the family: Transfer RNA (tRNA) molecules are approximately 80 nucleotides in length. Their secondary structure includes four short double-helical elements and three loops (D, anti-codon, and T loops).
Source: Rfam by way of RNAcentral